UGCAGUCGAGCGAACAGAUGAAGUGCUUGCACUUCUGACGUUAGCGGCGAACGGGCGAGUAACACGUUAGGAAUCUACCUAUAAGCGGGGGAUAACAAUCGGAAACGGGUGCUAAUACCGCAUAAUAUCUUCUUCCGCAUGGAAGAAGAUUGAAAGACGGCUCUGCUGUCACNUAUAGAUGACCUUGUGGUGCAUUAGUUAGUUGGUGGGGUAAUGGCCUACCAAGAAGAUGAUGCAUCGCCGACCUGAGAGGGUGAUCGGCCACAUUGGGACUGAGACACGGCCCAAACUCCUACGGGAGGCAGCAGUAGGGAAUCUUCCGCAAUGGGCGAAAGCCUGACGGAGCAAUGCCGCGUGAGUGAAGAAGGCCUUCGGGUCGUAAAACUCUGUUAUAAGAGAAGAACAAAUUGUAGAGUAACUGCUACAGUCUUGACGGUAUCUUAUCAGAAAGCCACGGCUAACUACGUGCCAGCAGCCGCGGUAAUACGUAGGUGGCAAGCGUUGUCCGGAUUUAUUGGGCGUAAGGGAGCGCAGGUGGUUUCUUAAGUCUGAUGUGAAAGCCCACGGCUUAACCGUGGAGGGUCAUUGGAAACUGGGAAACUUGAGUACAGAAGAGGAAUGUGGAACUCCAUGUGUAGCGGUGGAAUGCGUAGAUAUAUGGAAGAACACCAGUGGCGAAGGCGACAUUCUGGUCUGUUACUGACACUGAGGCUCGAAAGCGUGGGGAGGAAACAGGAUUAGAUACCCUGGUAGUCCACGCCGUAGACGAUGAGUGCUAGGUGUGGGAGGGUUUCCGCCCUUCAGUGCCGCAGUUUACGCAUUAAGCACUCCGCCUGGGGAGUACGACCGCGAGGUUGAAACUCAAGGAAUUGACGGGGAC
Molecule: ribosomal RNA, 880 nt
Filed under: Aerococcus urinaeequi
Lineage: Bacteria; Bacillati; Bacillota; Bacilli; Lactobacillales; Aerococcaceae
Description: bacterial SSU rRNA
Rfam family: Bacterial small subunit ribosomal RNA
Source: RNAcentral